This 253-nucleotide ribosomal RNA is filed under the name uncultured bacterium. RNAcentral describes it as "partial 16S ribosomal RNA". It matches the Rfam family "Bacterial small subunit ribosomal RNA", at positions 524 to 776 of the family's 1533-position model. The record is from RNAcentral.
UACGUAGGGUGCAAGCGUUAAUCGGAAUUACUGGGCGUAAAGCGCACGUAGGCGGAUACUUAAGUUAGGGGUGAAAUCCCAGGGCUCAACCCUGGAACUGCCUUUAAUACUGGGUAUCUUGAGUUCGAGAGAGGUGAGUGGAAUUCCGAGUGUAGAGGUGAAAUUCGUAGAUAUUCGGAGGAACACCAGUGGCGAAGGCGGCUCACUGGCUCGAUACUGACGCUGAGGUGCGAAAGCGUGGGGAGCAAACAGG